Homo sapiens (human) is the source of this 790-nucleotide long non-coding RNA. RefSeq lists it as uncharacterized. Lineage: Eukaryota; Metazoa; Chordata; Mammalia; Primates; Hominidae. The record is from RefSeq and is a predicted model, not a curated record. The transcript has 2 exons.
GCCCUGCUCUCUGCGGCCUGUCCCUGGGGUGGGUGCGGGCGAACUAUCCCAGGGUCAGCCUCGUCGGCCUGUCGUGCAGUGUCGUAAGGCCCGCAAGUCCCCACAUCUUUCUUGCUGGGAAGUGGAGAGGAAAAUUCAGUUCUCCAAGAGUAGGAGGUGACUCUGCUUGAGAAAGAAGUUGAAGGGAGGCCGAAUACACUGUCCACCCCCACCCUAGCCUGCCCACUCCGCCUCUGUCCCAACUCAUCCACAGAGACCCAGAGCACCAGGGUCCCUGCUUGCAAAGUGUCAGGCCAAAAAGAGCUUGGCGUGAGAACGGGCCUGGGUACAGCAAAGGCGUGCUGCUACAGAAGAUGUGGGUGCAAAGCACUUCCACUUCUUUGGCUGGAGCACUUAGGGUCAGGGGAGCCAGGGGGCCAGAGAAGGGAGUGGCUCAGAGAGCUUGGGGGCCUGGGGUUGGAUCCCACCCUGCACCUUGUCCACAGGAUCUUCGCGGCGUCUCAGCCUCUCCGGAGCUCACUGUUCCCAUCUGUAAGAGGGUGUGUGUGGGACCGUUCCGGCAGGGCUAUCCUGAGGAAACAUCAGAAGCAGUUAUAAAGUUGGGCCUCCCUCCUCCCUCCCCUCGAAAUGCCACUCAGAAUCCCAGUGCCAAGGGGAGCCCCCGCCCCCUCCCCCAUGGAUUCCUGACACCCCUUCCUCUUGUCCCAUCAAAUUUGUUUUUUGGCAACUCUGAUCCCAAAACAAAUUCCUCCUCACCCUGUAAUUAAACGAAAUUGCACGUAUUAGCAAA